UGGGGAAUCUUCCGCAAUGGACGAAAGUCUGACGGAGCAACGCCGCGUGAGUGAUGACGGCCUUCGGGUUGUAAAUCUCUGUUAAUCGGGACGAAUGGUUCUUGUGCAAAUAGUGCGAGGAUUUGACGGUACCGGAAUAGAAAGCCACGGCUAACUACGUGCCAGCAGCCGCGGUAAUACGUAGGUGGCAAGCGUUGUCCGGAAUUAUUGGGCGUAAAGCGCGCGCAGGCGGAUUGGUCAGUCUGUCUUAAAAGUUCGGGGCUUAACCCCGUGAUGGGAUGGAAAAUGCCAAGCUAGAGUAUCGGAGAGGAAAGUGGAAUUCCUAGUGUAGCGGUGAAAUGCGUAGAUAUUAGGAAGAACACCAGUGGCGAAGGCGACUUUCUGGACGAAAACUGACGCUGAGGCGCGAAAGCCAGGGGAGCGAACGAG
This 429-nucleotide ribosomal RNA is filed under the name bacterium. RNAcentral's name for it is "partial 16S ribosomal RNA". It matches the Rfam family "Bacterial small subunit ribosomal RNA", at positions 355 to 776 of the family's 1533-position model. The record is from RNAcentral.